UACGUAGGUGGCAAGCGUUGUCCGGAUUUACUGGGCGUAAAGGGCGUGCAGGCGGUUUGUUAAGUCUAGGGUGAAAGCUCCCGGCUCAACUGGGAGAGGUCCUUGGAUACUGGCAGACUUGAGGAGGGUAGAGGAGAGUGGAAUUCCCGGUGUAGUGGUGAUAUGCGUAGAUAUCGGGAGGAACACCAGGGGCGAAGGCGGCUCUCUGGGCCCUACCUGACGCUGAGACGCGAAAGCGUGGGGAGCGAACCGG
Molecule: ribosomal RNA, 253 nt
Filed under: uncultured bacterium
Lineage: Bacteria
Description: partial 16S ribosomal RNA
Rfam family: Bacterial small subunit ribosomal RNA
Source: RNAcentral